RNAcentral lists this ribosomal RNA (370 nucleotides) under Arion franciscoloi. RNAcentral describes it as "partial 16S large subunit ribosomal RNA". It matches the Rfam family "Bacterial large subunit ribosomal RNA", at positions 1851 to 2600 of the family's 2925-position model. The record is from RNAcentral. Lineage: Eukaryota; Metazoa; Mollusca; Gastropoda; Stylommatophora; Arionidae.
GGUGAAGUCUGCCCGGUGAUAUUUAAACGGCCGCAGUACUCUGACUGUGCUAAGGUAGCAAAAUAAAUAGGCCUUUAAUUGGGGUCGAGUAUGAAAGGCAUCAUGGUCAAUAGCUGUCUCUCUUAAAUUUUAAAAAUUUGCUUAGAAGGUGAAAAUUCCUUCAAAAAAAUAUUAGACGAGAAGACCCUUAGAGUUUUUAAAGAAAUAGUUUUAUCUAUAGUUUUUUGUUGGGGCGACAUAGUAUCAAAAAACAUACUUUUAUACAAAACUUAUAAAAUAAAGAAUAUAACUACCUAAGGGAUAACAGCAUAAUUUUAUAAAAGAUUGUGACCUCGAUGUUGGACUAGGGACUACUAAUAUUAUCCGUAUA